UUUCUAUAUACCAUCUAUUACUAAGAAAAAAAUCUCAACAUUCAUUUAUUCUUUCUCCUCCUCUUUACAGGACUCAGAGAAAAAUACAAGUCGAAGAUUGAAAGAAAAUUUCAUCCCUCAUCAAGUAAAAGAAAAUUGAGUCACUAAAAGUAGCGAAGUAAGUUGGUUGACAAACAUUCGAAUUCAGGACGACCUCUCCACAUCA
Molecule: long non-coding RNA, 205 nt
Filed under: Phoenix dactylifera (date palm)
Lineage: Eukaryota; Viridiplantae; Streptophyta; Magnoliopsida; Arecales; Arecaceae
Description: long non-coding RNA (PDAC_LNC004165)
Source: RNAcentral